Molecule: ribosomal RNA, 465 nt
Filed under: uncultured bacterium
Lineage: Bacteria
Description: partial 16S ribosomal RNA
Rfam family: Bacterial small subunit ribosomal RNA
Source: RNAcentral
CCUACGGGAGGCUGCAGUAGGGAAUCUUCGUCAAUGGGCGCAAGCCUGAACGAGCGAUGCCGCGUGAGUUAAGAAGGCCUUCGGGUCGUAAAGCUCUGUUGCGGGGGAAAAAAGGCAGCAUCAGGACAUGGGUGCUGACUGAUGGUGCCCCGACAGAAAGUCGCGGCUAACUACGUGCCAGCAGCCGCGGUCAUGCGUAGGUGGCGAGCGUUAUCCGGAAGGAUUGGGCGUAAAGGGUGCUCAGGCGGUCCUGCAAGUCUGGAGUGAAACGCAUGAGCUCAACUCAUGCAUGGCUUUGGAAACUGGAGGACUGGAGAGCAGGAGAGGGCGGUGGAACUCCAUGUGUAGCGGUAAAAUGCGUAGAUAUAUGGAAGAACACCAGUGGCGAAGGCGGCCGCCUGGCCUGUUGCUGACGCUGAGGCACGAAAGCGUGGGGAGCAAAUAGGAUUAGAUACCCCAGUAGUC